This 586-nucleotide ribosomal RNA is filed under the name uncultured eukaryote. RNAcentral's name for it is "SSU rRNA". It matches the Rfam family "Eukaryotic small subunit ribosomal RNA", at positions 626 to 1223 of the family's 1831-position model. The record is from RNAcentral.
GCUCGUAGUUGGAUUUCGGUUAAGAGCGACCGGUCCGCCGUUUGGUGUGUUUUGGUUGGUUUUACUUCCUGUAGAGGACGUGCUCUGGGCUUAACGGUCUGGACUCGGAGUCUACGUGGUUACUUUGAAAAAAUUAGAGUGUUCAAAGCGGGCUUACGCUUGAAUAUUUCAGCAUGGAAUAACACUAUAGGACUCCUGUCCUAUUUCGUUGGUCUCGGGACGGGAGUAAUGAUUAAGAGGAACAGUUGGGGGCAUUCGUAUUUCAUUGUCAGAGGUGAAAUUCUUGGAUUUAUGAAAGACGAACUUCUGCGAAAGCAUUUGCCAAGGAUGUUUUCAUUAAUCAAGAACGAAAGUUGGGGGCUCGAAGAUGAUUAGAUACCAUCCUAGUCUCAACCAUAAACGAUGCCGACUAGGGAUUGGUGGAUGUUAAUUGAUGACUCCGCCAGCACCUUAUGAGAAAUCAAAGUUUUUGGGUUCCGGGGGGAGUAUGGUCGCAAGGCUGAAACUUAAAGGAAUUGACGGAAGGGCACCACCAGGCGUGGAGCCUGCGGCUUAUUUUGACUCAACACGGGAAAACUUACCAGGU